GCACUUCCGGGUGCCUCCGCAGGCGCCGCCCUUCGAGCCUCUGGCGCUGGCGAGCUGGGCUGCCCGGCCUCUGCGGUCGCCGAGCGGAUGGAGCCCGCCCUUGGCCCCCUGCCGCCGCCCCUCAGCCCGCUCCCGGCGCAGAGCCCUUAACUCUCGCGGUCCCCACCGCCAGGAGCGAGCUUCCUGCGUCUCUCCCGCUGCCUGCCGCCGCCUUGGCUGACGUGUCGCCCUCGGCUCUCUCCCCCGUCAUCGUUUCGUCUGCGGCCUGUCAGGGUGAGCGUAGUGACGUCAGAGGCCCCGGCUCUGCUCACGGCUGUGCCCUGAAGGCAUCCUGACGUCCGUCUUCCCGUGAGGGACCCCAGGCCCAGAAAGCUGGACAGGAGCUGACCAUGCGCCUCUCAGCACCAGCUUGGGGAGCCCGGCGCCUCGCUUUGCCGUUUGCAGUGAGCACCCACUGUCCUGCCUCCCCGACGUCAGGGACCGGCGUUGGGCCCUGGUCUGGUCCCGGUGGGCGGUCGUCAGUCUGUAGGAGCUGUUCGGUGUGUUUAAACCCGCGCGCCUGGGGAGGUGUGGGCCAGGGAAGGGCGCAGGCACACUAAGCAAGAAGGGACUGAGCGCAGGGCUGGGCUGGCUCGCAGUAGGUGUGAGGGAGGGGCCCUGCCUGCUGAGAUGCGCCCCUCACCCCAGGACAGACCACGGUCUGCGGCUCAGAGGCUUUCAGGAAGACCUUCUCACCUGGACCGGGCUAGGGGCAACCGGGAAAUUGUGCGGGUGUGGGCGAGCCUGUCUGAUGCGGAGACCCGGGUCACGGGGCGGGAAGGAUGUGGCAGGCUAGGCGCCAAGCCCUGGAGCGUCCAGGAGCCUUAGCUCAACAGCAGGGUGGGGCAGUGACCUCGGCUCCCCUCCACCAGGGGGCGGUGGGGCUCACACCAGGGUCGUCGUAGCCACGCCCCCUUCCUGGACUGCCCUGGGUGGUUUGGCCGGUUGAUGGGACUCUGCUCCAGAAACCUUGGUCCUAACUCAGAUCAGUGCAUCCUGUUUUCCUUCUCCUCCUCCUCAACUUUACAUUUUUCCAGUGUUUCUAUAUUCAUAAAGGUCGAAAGAAUAAUGCAAUGCUUACCUGUAUGCCUUUUGCUCAGAUUCAGCAGCUAACAUCCUAGCACAUCUUGUUUGUACAAAACUCUGCCACCUCUUCUCUUUUCAUUUCAACCAACACAGUGUUUAUUUGUCGAGUGCCUCUGUGUGCUAAGCACUGGGGUACGUCAGUGAACAAAAACAACACUGCUAACACAUCUGUGUCCUCCCAUACCUUGAGUGUGAACGGGGACAGCAAGCAAUACACAGAAUAAAUGCGGGAAUUCCAGAGGGCGUCCAGAGUUGGUGAGGGCACAUUGGCUCACUUGGGUGGCAUGUGGCAGCCACAGUCUGCACCUGCCCCAUCGCCCUUUGGCUCUAGCUUUUUCCCUAAGGGUUUUCAGCCCCAGCAGUUCCACAUUUUCUCCACUUUACACCCCUUUUCUUUCCCAAAUACCUUCCCUGUUCCAGCAUUAAGGUAAAAACAGCAGCCUUACAGGAAUUAUUAACUAUAUCCUGCAAUUUGUGUGGUCCAGUGUGAUUUCUGUCUUUUCUCAGCUUCUCUGAUUGGAUCCUAAUGCAGUGUGCUUGUAAACCACACACACAUUCCUACAUUGUAAAGUGAAUGGAGAAUUAAAAAUUUGGUUCCUUUUCCUAUUACACCUACAUUUACUUC
Molecule: long non-coding RNA, 1750 nt
Organism: Oryctolagus cuniculus (rabbit)
Lineage: Eukaryota; Metazoa; Chordata; Mammalia; Lagomorpha; Leporidae
Source: RefSeq, a predicted model, not a curated record